Molecule: long non-coding RNA, 1624 nt
Organism: Macaca fascicularis (crab-eating macaque)
Lineage: Eukaryota; Metazoa; Chordata; Mammalia; Primates; Cercopithecidae
Source: Ensembl
CCAGCUGAGGCCUCCAGGCAUCUGGGAGAGACAUUUACCCUUAAGGAAAGUAGGGAACAUAUUAUUUGCCUUGGGUUUCUCCAGAUCCACAUGCAUUUUAGGAAAGUUAAGGCACUUUCUUUAAUACAGGAGCCCAUUACAAAUAACAACUCAAGGAGAAAAAGGCUAUCCACAUCUCUUGAACAGAAGAAAAUGCCGUUGAAUAAAUAAUACUAUGGAACUAAAGAAAUGCACCUAAAAUCCCCUUCUUAAACACGCCACGAAAGAGGAAAGGAAUAUUCAUUUCCUGUAGAAGAGAAUUAGAGCUUACUGAAGACACACUCUCAACCAGGAGGUCUCUGAUGUGGGCUUACUAGUAAGAAACACAUCUUCACAGGUAAUACAACUACAUGUGAGUAACUGUGGCCUGCCAUACAUUGUUUCAUCAAUUUAAUUAUCAAUGUAUCAAAUUAUUUAUUUAUCUAGCAAAUAUUUAUUGAGCACUUACUCUGCAACAGAAUCUGAACCAAGCCCUGGGCUCAUUCAGAAAUAAAUGAUCGGGGCGUUUGGUUCUAAAUUGAUGAAACAAGUCUUUGAGCUUAUUGCCUCCUCAUCCUGAGCUGGGCAGAUCCCCAUCCUCUCUUGAAGUUCAUGAAAGGAUAUCUACCUUGUGACACACAGAAAUAGCCCUGCAAAUGGAAUCUAACUGAAGGUGAAUGAGUAUUCUUGCCUCAGUUAAUAUAUCUUCAUAGUUAGACAGUUCCAAAGCAAUAAUGUGCACAACUAAGACACGCUUAUUGACCAUGUACUUACCAUCUAUUUGGCAAAUGCUGUUUAUGAAGUUUUUAAGAAACAAGUAUUGAUCCAAAAUUUCCCUUGCAUUUAAUAUUCUGUCAUUCUGCAAGGCCACUAUUAAGUUUGAUGUACAUAUACAAUUACCUGUCUAUCUAAAGAGUUUCAGUUGCCCUAACUCUUGGGCACCACACCAUGAUUAAAUGCAUACAAGCAACAAGUUCUUGAUUUGGGCGGCUGGAAAACCACUGUGGCAUAAGAUCAAUAGUUAUAUCACUUAGCAAAGAAUUUCUUUGUCAUUGCUUUCUAUAAUCCUCAAAGGUCCUGAUAAACACUUAAAACUAGAUUUGUUCUUUCUUUUGUGCACAUGUUGUUCAUACAAACGAAAGCCAAAUUUACCUAGGAAGAUUCCAGAGGACCCAUAUAGGACUGAAGAUUGUUUAAAUUCUGGUAGAGCUCAUGAAAUACAUUUUCAACUGGUGGGAUAUCCUCCUCAUCAGACUCCCAAAUUCUUUAGAGCAAGAAACAUUAACAAGCAUAAGUGAAAAACAAAAACAAAAACAAAAAAAACCUGUAUGAAGAUUUGAGAAAAUAGUAUAAGCACAGGAUGAGGAAGACUUAAUACUAUAGUUGUUAGUGUAAAAAAAACAGGAGAUUUUAUUAAACAAAAAUGUAAUAGGCAAAUUUGAUGGACCUUUUAGCAGAAAUGUUUGUAUGAACUGAAUUCUAGUAUCCAGAUCAUGAGAGUAAUAAUCAUUUUUCUGAACUUUGCGUAAGACACACAUGGGGUAUGUUGGACAUGCUAUGUGCCCAUUUUAAAAGAUACUUUGAAAAACAGGUGAGUGACCAGAUG